GAUGAACGCUGGCGGCGUGCCUAAUACAUGCAAGUCGAGCGAACGGACGAGAAGCUUGCUUCUCUGAUGUUAGCGGAGGACGGGUGAGUAACACGUGGAUACUCUACCUAUAAGACUGGGAUAACUUCGGGAAACCGGAGCUUAUCCCGGAUGAUCUUUUGAACCGCAUGGUUCAAAAGUGAAAGACGGUCUUGCUGUCACUUAUCGAUGGAUCCGCGCUGCAUUAGCUAGUUGGUAAGGUAACGGCUUAUCAAGGGAACGAUGCGUAGCCGACGUGAUAGAGGGGUAGGCCGCCCGAGAACGUGAACACGGACCAUGCGACUGCGAUACGCAGCAGAAGGGUACCGGCCGCAGUGGUCGAAAACCUUACGGAGCAACGGCGCGUGAGUGAUGAAGAUCUUCGGAGCGUAAUACUCUGUUACUAGGUAAGAACAUAUUUGUAAGGAACUGAGCACAGCUUGACGGUACCUAAUCAGAAAGCCACGGCUAACUACGUG
Molecule: ribosomal RNA, 497 nt
Filed under: uncultured bacterium
Lineage: Bacteria
Description: partial 16S ribosomal RNA
Rfam family: Bacterial small subunit ribosomal RNA
Source: RNAcentral